RNAcentral lists this ribosomal RNA (531 nucleotides) under uncultured bacterium. RNAcentral describes it as "bacterial SSU rRNA". It matches the Rfam family "Bacterial small subunit ribosomal RNA", at positions 8 to 526 of the family's 1533-position model. The record is from RNAcentral.
AGAGUUUGAUCCUGGCUCAGGACGAACGCUGACGGUGUGCUUUAGGCAUGCAAGUCGAACGAGAAAGCCCUUCGGGGUGAGUAAAGUGGCGAACGGGUGAGUAACACGUGGGCAACCUGCCCCUCGCAGGGGGACAACCGGAGGAAACUCCGGCUAAUACCCCGUACGUUCUCAGGGUCGCAUGGCCCUGGGAAGAAAGGUAGCUUCGGCCAUCUGGCGAGGGAUGGGCCCGCGGUGCAUUAGCUAGUUGGUGGGGUAACGGCUCACCAAGGCGACGAUGCAUAGCUGGUCUGAGAGGAUGAUCAGCCACACUGGGACUGAGACACGGCCCAGACUCCUACGGGAGGCAGCAGCCAGGAAUCUUGGGCAAUGGGCGAAAGCCUGACCCAGCAACACCGUGUGGGCGAUGAAGGCCUUCGGGUCGUAAAGCCCUGUUGAUAGGGACGAAGGGCGAAGGGUUAAUAGCCCCUAGCCUGACGGUACCUUUCGAGGAAGCCCCGGCUAACUACGUGCCAGCCGCCGCGGUAAUUC